This 301-nucleotide ribosomal RNA is filed under the name uncultured bacterium. RNAcentral's name for it is "partial 16S ribosomal RNA". It matches the Rfam family "Bacterial small subunit ribosomal RNA", at positions 509 to 807 of the family's 1533-position model. The record is from RNAcentral.
CAGUAGCCGCGGUAAUACGAAGGGUGCAAGCGUUACUCGGAAUUACUGGGCGUAAAGCGUGCGUAGGCGGUUUCUUAAGUCUGCUGUGAAAUCCCCGGGCUCAACCUGGGAAUGGCAGUGGAUACUGGGAAGCUAGAGUGUGUCAGAGGAUGGUGGAAUUCCCGGUGUAGCGGUGAAAUGCGUAGAGAUCGGAAGGAACAUCUGUGGCGAAGGCGGCCAUCUGGGACAACACUGACGCUGAGGCACGAAAGCGUGGGGAGCAAACAGGAUUAGAUACCCGAGUAGUCCCUGUCUCUUAUAC